UACAGGAAUGAUUGGGGGCGGAAGGGAGGAAUUAAAUUACCGAAGUAAUUUAUUUAGUCUAUUCCCAUUUCACCAUAGGAUCAUCAGUCUGUAUGCACACCUGUGCUUCUCUACCUCCUCACAGCAAAGAUGUGCUAGUAGGGAGGAAACAAGGCAUUUCCAAGUAGCCAGCAUUUUUAAGGAGGAGGGGAUCUUAUUUUCACCGCAGAUCUCCAUUUCACCAAGGACUGCACAAAGACCUCAUGCUGGUGGCAGAGCAGCAGUAUUCAGCCAUCAGCAAGAACGAGAAAUUUGCAACAUGGUCAUAGCCAACAAUUCCAUCAGGCUAAGAGGGAUCCGAAGUGCAAUCACAAAUGACGACGAUAUCUUCGCAAAUAUCAAUUCUGUCAGCAUUUCCACUAUAGACAGAGUUUUGGGGGAAAAAUGACUAUGAAACAGCUCUACAAGGUACCAUUUGAGAGGAAUCGUAACAGAGUGAAGGAGCUGCGGUGCCAGUAUGUCCAGAAAAUACUGGAGCUGGAAGGACAUGAAAUGACCCACAUUCUUGUUUUUGUGGACGAGGCUGGGUUCAAUCUGGCCCAAGGCAGGAGAUGUGGCCGCAAUCUCAUUGGACACCGAGCCACAAUUGGCACACCAGGCUAACGUGGGGAGCAAUGUUACAAUGUGUGCUGCCAUUUCUGAGAAUGUUGUGAGCGCACAUAUUCCACACAUUGGGCCCUAUAACACCCAUCUUCUCCUGGCCUUCCUAAAUACACUUUACAGAGACCUAAUAACAGAACAUGAAAGAGGUUUAGUUAGUGCAGAUUUGCCAAAUUGUGUGGGAUAAUGUCAGCUUCCACCAAAACAACAUUGUUAGGGAAUGGUUUGCUGCACAUGAAAGGAUAACCAUGGAGUUCCUUCCACCAUCUUCCCCAUUCCUGAAACCGAUAGAAGAGUUUAGUUCAGCAUGGAGGUGGAAAGUAUAUGCAGGGGAUGGUUGCGCCAGACAAGGAGAUUUCCCCCCCC
Molecule: long non-coding RNA, 1005 nt
Organism: Salvelinus sp. IW2-2015
Lineage: Eukaryota; Metazoa; Chordata; Actinopteri; Salmoniformes; Salmonidae
Source: RefSeq, a predicted model, not a curated record